AGGAAAACUGCUAUAAGCAUUUGCAGGAGGGAGGUAUCCAGAGAGGCUAAUGGAAGAGACAGGCUUUGGGAUUUAUUUGCAGAGAGGUUAGGCAUUCAGACAUGUGGAAAGAGAGAUGAAAGGAAAGUGCACCUGAGGCUGAACAAGUGACUAAAGGAGAAGCCACUGUGCCUGUCGAAAGAACAAUGAAUAAUCCAGAAUUGAUAGAUAAGUAAGACUGGGGAAGGAAGAGAAAGGAAGACACAGCCUCUGAGAGCCGGAUGAAGACACAAAUGGGAUGGAGGCUGCGGCUGUUAAACCAUCAGGACUCAGCGGCUGUUAAACCAUCAGGACUCAGCAAUUAUUUCAUGUGGAGACAAGUGAUGGCAAAGCCAAAAGGCCACGGGUGUUGAGCUGUUGACGAGAAACUGAAAGUGCCAUUGUGUUUAUACAGGAAGCUGCCAUUAGUAGGGAUUUGAAAAAGCAAGAGGAGAGGAUGAGUUUAGUGGGGAGUUCUUACACUUCAGGUGCUAGUGGAUACCACCAAGUCAAUAUUGAGUAGCAGGAAACCAGGGCCUGAUGUUCCGUCAGGCCAUCAGGGCGGAGACAUUGUGGAGAGGAAGUUUUGAGGCUGUGAGAUUAGGAGAGAAGCAUGGAGUGUAGAGCAGGAACUAGGCCUCUCUUUACCCAAAAUCCAAAACCCCACUUAUGCCAGACACACUCAAUACUUUCUGCUGGGAUCCUCAAUUCUCAUAAAGUUUUCAUAAUAAGGCCGGGCGGGGUGGCUUAUGCCUGUAUUCCCAGCACUUUGGGAGGCCGAGGCGGGCGGAUCACCUGAGGUCAGGAGUUCAAGACGAGUCUGGCCAACAUGGUAAAAACCUGUCUCUACUGAAAAUACAAAAAUCAGCCGGGCUUGGUGGUAGGCGCCUACAGCUAGUCGGGACGCUGAGGCAUGGGAAUCGCUUGAACCCAGGAGGCAGAGGUUGCAGUGAGCCAAGAUCAUGCCACUGCACACCAGCCUGGGGGAUACAGCAAGACUCUGUCACAAUAAAAAAAACAAAAAGUUUUCAUAAAUUGGGAUGUUUCCUCUAUUCCUUCCCCUGUCUCAUUCUUGAGGGAUUGAAGAUAGUGUUUGAAAUCUCACUGGCAACCCUUCCUGCUCCCUUUCCCAGCAGUUCCAUGACCUUAUCCACUCUAACAAGCCCCGUUUCCUCCCUGCUUCUGCCACUCGCUGAACACAGUACCUUGGCAUUGCUGUCCUACAUACUCCAUUCUAGCCGUGACCGCUCUUCCGGAACACAAUCUCCUACUAGCUGCUAGGUCUGAGUGACUAACAUAAAAUUCUCCCUGGUCUGUCAGUAUUUGAAAUACAGCCGCUUGUCUU
This 1363-nucleotide long non-coding RNA is filed under the name Homo sapiens (human). Its description in RNAcentral is "HSALNT0157723". The record is from RNAcentral. Lineage: Eukaryota; Metazoa; Chordata; Mammalia; Primates; Hominidae.